UCCCUGGUGGUUCCAUGGUUAGGACUUGGUGCUUUCACUGCUGUGGCCCUAGGUUCAAUUCCUGGUCAGGGAA
Ovis aries (sheep) is the source of this 73-nucleotide transfer RNA. It matches the Rfam family "tRNA". From Rfam's summary of the family: Transfer RNA (tRNA) molecules are approximately 80 nucleotides in length. Their secondary structure includes four short double-helical elements and three loops (D, anti-codon, and T loops). The record is from Rfam. NCBI's taxonomy places the organism in Eukaryota, Metazoa, Chordata, Mammalia, Artiodactyla, Bovidae.